CUACGGGUGGCUGCAGUGGGGAAUAUUGGACAAUGGACGCAAGCCUGAUCCAGCAAUACCGCGUGUGUGAAGAAGGCCUGCGGGUUGUAAAGCACUUUCAAUUGUGAAGAAAAGCGAGGGCUUAAUACGCUCUUGUCUUGACGUUAACUUUAGAAGAAGCACCGGCUAACUCUGUGCCAGCAGCCGCGGUAAUACAGAGGGUGCGAGCGUUAAUCGGAAUUACUGGGCGUAAAGCGUACGUAGGCGGUUUAGUAAGUCAGAUGUGAAAGCCCUGGGCUCAACCUGGGAACUGCAUUUGAAACUGCUAGACUAGAGUGUGGUAGAGGGAAGUGGAAUUCCGGGUGUAGCGGUGAAAUGCGUAGAUAUCCGGAGGAACACCAGUGGCGAAGGCGACUUCCUGGACCAACACUGACGCUGAGGUACGAAAGCGUGGGUAGCAAACAGGAUUAGAUACCCGUGUAGUC
RNAcentral lists this ribosomal RNA (464 nucleotides) under uncultured bacterium. RNAcentral's name for it is "partial 16S ribosomal RNA". It matches the Rfam family "Bacterial small subunit ribosomal RNA", at positions 339 to 795 of the family's 1533-position model. The record is from RNAcentral.